GACGAACGCUGGCGGCGCGCCUAACACAUGCAAGUCGAACGGAGAUCAUUUGGCAGAAGUUUUCGGAUGGACACCGAGUGAUCUUAGUGGCGAACGGGUGAGUAACGCGUGAGCAAUCUGCCUCAGAGUGGGGGACAACAGUUGGAAACGACUGCUAAUACCGCAUAAGCCCACAGCACCGCAUGGUGCAGGGGGAAAAGAUUUAUUGCUUUGAGAUGAGCUCGCGUCCAAUUAGCUGGUUGGUGAGGUAACGGCCCACCAAGGCGACGAUUGGUAGCCGGACUGAGAGGUUGAACGGCCACAUUGGGACUGAGAUACGGCCCAGACUCCUACGGGAGGCAGCAGUGGGGAAUAUUGCACAAUGGGGGGAACCCUGAUGCAGCGACGCCGCGUGGAGGAAGAAGGUCUUCGGAUUGUAAACUCCUGUUGUUAGGGACGAUAAUGACGGUACCUAACAAGGAAGCACCGGCUAACUACGUG
RNAcentral lists this ribosomal RNA (480 nucleotides) under uncultured bacterium. RNAcentral describes it as "bacterial SSU rRNA". It matches the Rfam family "Bacterial small subunit ribosomal RNA", at positions 28 to 507 of the family's 1533-position model. The record is from RNAcentral.